GGCGACAUAGCCAAGUGGUUACGGCGCUGUGUUAAGGUUUCUUGUCCAAAGACAUCCGCAGUCCUUCGGGGCGUGGGUUCGAGUCCCACUGUCGUCA
Non-coding RNA from Tilletiopsis washingtonensis, 97 nucleotides. The record is from the annotation of a RefSeq genome assembly. Lineage: Eukaryota; Fungi; Basidiomycota; Exobasidiomycetes; Entylomatales.